RNAcentral lists this transfer RNA (64 nucleotides) under Delias belladonna. Its description in RNAcentral is "tRNA-Thr". It matches the Rfam family "tRNA". Rfam says of the family: Transfer RNA (tRNA) molecules are approximately 80 nucleotides in length. The record is from RNAcentral. Lineage: Eukaryota; Metazoa; Arthropoda; Insecta; Lepidoptera; Pieridae.
GUUUUUAUAGUUUAAAUAAAACAUUGGUCUUGUAAACUAAAAACAAUAAUAUUAUUUAAAAACU